Acanthopagrus latus (yellowfin seabream) is the source of this 863-nucleotide long non-coding RNA. RefSeq lists it as uncharacterized. The transcript has 2 exons. Lineage: Eukaryota; Metazoa; Chordata; Actinopteri; Spariformes; Sparidae. The record is from RefSeq and is a predicted model, not a curated record.
AAAAUUUCCACCAGAGACUUUGGUCAUUUCCAUGAUUGCUCCACACAGCAGCCCUCUCCAACACUGAGGAGGACAGGCGAGUCUCGGGCUAUAUACGCCUCCGAGCCCACCGCCCCUGAUGAAGAAUCACCACGGUGCUCCUAUAGCGACACAAGAGCGCUGAGUGAUGAGUUCACGGCAAACAACCUGCUGAUGAUCGUCAACAGCAGCUUUUCUGCAGGACGCACAACGCUCCUCCCAGACGCCACCGUUGCAGGAGAUUAUUUUCCUCAGUAAUGUCACUUAAUUAUGACUUUUCAACAGUUCUUUCCCUUAACGGUGAUUUGGACUGGAGAAGGGGGGGGGGGGGGGUUCCCUUUCACGCCACCAGAGGGACCAGAGAGCAGGCAGGGUGAUAUAAAGCAUGAGGCUGCUCAAAAAUAAAUAUUGGAAAAGGAGAGGGGGUCAGCAUUUUGCUUUGUGUUGCUGUUGUUCACUUUGCACAAGCUUCCACUCAGCAUGCGGUCUGUAGACGUUCACAGGUUAUCUCUCCUAGGCAUCUGUGCCAGGCAAGCACACUACUUCUACCCGAUAAACGGCUACAGCUCAGUGAAACCACAAUCUAGCACACUAGUGCAUGCAUUUGUAUCACACCAGUUUGUAUCAUACUAUAAGGUCUGCUGCUAUAAUUUGUAUAGUUGCAUGAAUCAUGCAGUUAACAACCAGCCCUCUUCCCGAUCACCCACAGAUUGUAAUGGGCCGAUUGCGUUGUUUUACAUUAACAACCCACCUUGCAACGACAUUGCAAAGCAAACACACGCCGCCCGUGCGUAAGUGACUCUCUCAGAAUGGCAAAAACAAGACAACAACAACAACAAAAAAAA